GGCGACGUAGCUCAGUUGGUUAGAGCGUAGCACUCAUAACGCUAAGGUCAGUGGUUCAAUUCCACUCGUCGCUA
This 74-nucleotide transfer RNA is filed under the name bacterium. Its description in RNAcentral is "tRNA-Met". It matches the Rfam family "tRNA". Rfam says of the family: Transfer RNA (tRNA) molecules are approximately 80 nucleotides in length. Their secondary structure includes four short double-helical elements and three loops (D, anti-codon, and T loops). RNAcentral also lists the same sequence under 1 other name. The record is from RNAcentral.